UGAGGAAUCUUGCGCAAUGGGGGAAACCCUGACGCAGCAACGCCGCGUGAGUGAGGAAGGUCUUCGGGUCGUAAAGCUCUGUCAGGCGGGAAGAAAUGCAUGGAGGUGAACAGCCGCCAUGCUUGACGGUACCGCCAGAGGAAGCACCGGCUAACUCCGUGCCAGCAGCCGCGGUAAUACGGGGGGUGCAAGCGUUGUUCGGAAUCAUUGGGCGUAAAGAGCGUGUAGGCGGCUUGGUAAGUCAGAUGUGAAAGCCCUGGGCUCAACUCAGGAAGUGCAGUUGAAACUGCCAGGCUCGAGUAGGGGAGAGGGAAGUGGAAUUCCUGGUGUAGAGGUGAAAUUCGUAGAUAUCAGGAGGAACACCGGCGGCGAAGGCGACUUCCUGGCCCUAUACUGACGCUGAGACGCGAGAGCGUGGGUAGCAAACAG
This 429-nucleotide ribosomal RNA is filed under the name uncultured bacterium. RNAcentral's name for it is "bacterial SSU rRNA". It matches the Rfam family "Bacterial small subunit ribosomal RNA", at positions 355 to 775 of the family's 1533-position model. The record is from RNAcentral.